UACGGAGGGGGCUAGCGUUGUUCGGAAUUACUGGGCGUAAAGCGCGCGUAGGCGGUCUCUUAAGUCGGAUGUGAAAGCCCUCGGCUCAACUGAGGAAGUGCACCCGAAACUGAGAGGCUUGAGUACAAAAGAGGGUCGCGGAAUUCCCGGUGUAGAGGUGAAAUUCGUAGAUAUCGGGAGGAACACCGGUGGCGAAGGCGGCGACCUGGGUUGAUACUGACGCUGAGGCGCGAAAGCGUGGGGAGCAAACAGG
Molecule: ribosomal RNA, 253 nt
Filed under: uncultured bacterium
Lineage: Bacteria
Description: partial 16S ribosomal RNA
Rfam family: Bacterial small subunit ribosomal RNA
Source: RNAcentral